RNAcentral lists this long non-coding RNA (638 nucleotides) under Capra hircus (goat). RNAcentral's name for it is "lncRNA (ENSCHIG00000003857.1)". Lineage: Eukaryota; Metazoa; Chordata; Mammalia; Artiodactyla; Bovidae. The record is from RNAcentral.
CUCGAGAAUCCCACAGACGGGGGAGCCUGGCAGGCUACAGUCCAUGAGGUGUGCCCCUGACUUGACUGCAUUAAUAACCCACUCCUCCCGCCGGUUCCAUAAACACAGGGGCGGCAGCCAGGGCAGGAACGAGCACGUCAGGAACUUCGGCUGCUCCGAUUUGUUGAAUAAACAGAGUGGAAGGUGUUGCAUAGAUGAAUCAACACCUACGUCUGAAGCCGCCCCCGCUGCUGUCGAUUUGCAUAAGUGGGUUUCUCAGGAAGCAGCUCUGGAAGCCCGGGAAGAGAACAGUCCCUGCUGUGAGAUGGUUAGCAUGAUGAGAGCGGGGGUCUUUGGAAGUUGCAGGGAUACUUCAAUGGACUUUUCUGCGCUGGAGUGAACGUUGGCGGACAUGCCACACAGCCUCCCUGCAGACUGAAGUUGUCAGCGUGGGAUUGAAACGUAGGGUCUCUCAUUAAACCCAUGCUGAUUUGGUUAUUUUUAAGGUGUUUUUUUUUUUUAAUGGGCUGCUUAAAAGCCUUUCUUGAGUUUAUCACAGUGUUAUCUCUGUUUUAUGUUCUGACAUUUUUGGCCAUGAGGCCUGUGGGAAUCCUAGCUCCCUGACCAGGGAUGGAACCCACGUCCCUUGCAUUGGAAGG